ACGAAGCCGAUUUCUUCGGGUCGAAACAGGCGGUAAAAAACGAACAAAAGGAAAAGGGCGCAAAAAGAAACCCAGUUCUAGGGUUUUGUUUUUGUUUGAUUUUCAAGCCAAUCGAAUUGAUGAGAUGACAAUUCCCUAACUCCCAAUUACCCGAGUUCCUAUACCCUCCUACUUGUCCACUCUCCAUCAGAUUUCUCCUCUACGGGAAGAUUAUGUCUGGAAGAAAUCGAGGACCACCCACCAUCCCACUAAAUGGUGUGCCUCACGGUGGACUACCACCUGUUCGCGAUCCUCAUUUUGGCAGAGGCCUUGGGCCAGUGCCACAUCCAGCGCUUCUUGAGGAAAUCAGAGAAUCACAGUAUGGGAUGCAUCCAGGAUCCCUUCCUCCACACCCUGCAAUGAUAGAGGAGCGUCUUGCUGCACAACAUCAAGAUAUUCAAGCUCUUCUUCUCGACAACCAGAGGCUAGCUGCUACCCAUGUUGCCCUUAAGCAGGAACUAGAAGCAGCCCAGCACGAGUUGCAACGCAUGGCUCAUGUUGCUGAUUCCUUACAUGCAGAAAGGGACAUUCAGAUGAGAGAAUUAUAUGAAAAAUCAGUAAGACUAGAAGUUGAUCUGCGAGGAGUUGAGACUAUGCGAGCAGAGCUUCUUCAAGUUCAUUCUGAUGUCAAGGAAUUAACUGUUGCAAGGCAGGAACUCACUGGUCAAGUACAAGCAAUGUCACAAGAUCUAACUAGAAUGACUGCAGAUUUGCAGCAGGUCCCCGCUUUGAAGGCAGAAAUUGAAACUGUGAAGCAGGAAUUACAUCGUGCUAGAGUUGCAAUUGAGUAUGAAAAGAAGGGAUAUGCGGAGAAUUAUGAACACGGUCAGGUUAUGGAGAAGAAACUGGUUUCAAUGGCUCGGGAGUUGGAGAAACUUAGAGCUGAGGUUUCUAAUGCAGAGAAGAGAGCUCAUGCUUCUGCUGCUGCUGUUGGAAAUGCUGCUGCUGGGUACGGUACAAAUUAUGGCAAUGCUGAUGCUGGAUAUGCGGGAAAUCCAUAUUCUUCGAGUUAUGGCUUGAACUCCGUGCAGUCUGGUACCGAUGGUUAUCCUCCAUAUGGACCUGGAUCUGUUCCCUGGGGUGCAUAUGACAUGCAACGGGCUCAAGGACAUAGAUAGACUGAUGAAUUAUGUCCUGCUAAGAUGUUUCUUGUGGAGGGCUUGAGGUUCAAAUCACAAAGCAUUGAUAAUUAGGUUUGUGGGCCUUCCGUGAUCGGCUUAAUUUAUGGCUAUGAACCGAUUUCAGAUUGUACUAAGGUCGUAUGAAAAUGGCAGUCGGAGCUGAACUCCAAAAUCCUCCAUCUGAAGUCAGUUUAGCUCGUGGCUUGAACAAUCAACAAUUUGUUCCAUCUUAGGAAGCUAUCAAAUACUCUUCCUGGCAUAAGUCUUUACCAACUAGCAGUACAUCAUUCAGUGUGUUAGUUGGCUGGCUUUGCACCCUGUGCUCUGGCAUGGAUCGUGUUGCUGUUCGACAAAACUGGUUCCACCGAGUUUAAUUCAACCAAACACCCCCUGCAGUGAAAUGGGUAGGCUUGAAGUUGGCUGAAUAACAGCAGAGCCUGCCUGCACUUUUUAUAUAUAUAUCAUCUCUCUUUUGUAGCCGCCAUGUAUUUGAUCCUUUUGAUUCCUGUAGAUUUCAAGCAUUCGAAGAGCUCAAUGGGUCAUUUCCAAUUGGUGCCAGUUCUUGGUACGGUGUUUGCAAUCACUCUUGUCUUUUUUUUUU
This is an RNA transcript of Cucurbita maxima (winter squash), 1761 nucleotides long. It is a transcript of the gene named protein FLX-like 1, with no coding region annotated. The transcript has 8 exons. The record is from RefSeq and is a predicted model, not a curated record. NCBI's taxonomy places the organism in Eukaryota, Viridiplantae, Streptophyta, Magnoliopsida, Cucurbitales, Cucurbitaceae.